GUACCUAGUCUAAUGGUACCUAAUCUGUGGCAGAAAACUAACCUAAGCAGGGGUUAAUCACCCCAAGCGCCGCAGAGAGGUAGGAGCCGAUCCGGAGCUGAGAGGAGCAGCAAUGCACUGGAGAGCGCUCCGAAAUCCCGCGAGAAGACGGGCGGGAGCUCCCAAGAUGGCCG
Molecule: long non-coding RNA, 173 nt
Organism: Bufo bufo (common toad)
Lineage: Eukaryota; Metazoa; Chordata; Amphibia; Anura; Bufonidae
Exons: 3
Source: RefSeq, a predicted model, not a curated record